This 253-nucleotide ribosomal RNA is filed under the name uncultured bacterium. Its description in RNAcentral is "partial 16S ribosomal RNA". It matches the Rfam family "Bacterial small subunit ribosomal RNA", at positions 524 to 776 of the family's 1533-position model. The record is from RNAcentral.
UACAGAGGGUGCAAGCGUUGUUCGGAAUUAUUGGGCGUAAAGGGCGCGUAGGCGGUGCGGUAAGUCUGUAGUGAAAUCUCUGGGCUCAACUCAGAGUCUGCUGCAGAAACUGCCGUGCUUGAGUGUGGGAGAGGUGAGUGGAAUUCCUGGUGUAGCGGUGAAAUGCGUAGAUAUCGGGAGGAACACCUGAGGCGAAAGCGGCUCACUGGACCACAACUGACGCUGAGGCGCGAAAGCUAGGGGAGCAAACAGG